Molecule: ribosomal RNA, 473 nt
Filed under: uncultured bacterium
Lineage: Bacteria
Description: bacterial SSU rRNA
Rfam family: Bacterial small subunit ribosomal RNA
Source: RNAcentral
AAUCAACGCUGGCGGCGUGCCUCAGACAUGCAAGUCGAACGCGAAAUUUCCCUUCGGGGAGAAAGUAGAGUGGCGCACGGGUGAGUAACACGUAGGUAAUUUGCCUUUGGGUGGGGAAUAACUCAGGGAAACUUGAGCUAAUACCGCAUAAUGCAGCGGCUCGACAUCGAGACAGUUGUUAAAGCGGGGGAUCGCAAGACCUCGCGCCUAAAGAGAAGCCUGCGGCAGAUUAGCUAGUUGGUAGGGUAAUGGCCUACCAAGGCAACGAUCUGUAACCGGCCUGAGAGGGCGGUCGGUCACACUGACACUGACAUACGGGUCAGACUCCUACGGGAGGCAGCAGUCGGGAAUUUUGGGCAAUGGGCGAAAGCCUGACCCAGCAACGCCGCGUGAAGGAUGAAAUCCCUCGGGAUGUAAACUUCGCAAAGAACGGGAAGAAUAAGUAGAAGAUAAUACCUUCUAUGAUGACGGUA